UUAAUUGAAACCAAAAAGAGGUAUAUCACUGUUAAUGAUAUCAUUGAAUUCUCAAUUCCAAUUAAA
This 66-nucleotide transfer RNA is filed under the name Protohermes grandis. Its description in RNAcentral is "tRNA-Asn". Lineage: Eukaryota; Metazoa; Arthropoda; Insecta; Megaloptera; Corydalidae. The record is from RNAcentral.